This 289-nucleotide ribosomal RNA is filed under the name uncultured Candidatus Midichloria sp. Its description in RNAcentral is "partial 16S ribosomal RNA". It matches the Rfam family "Bacterial small subunit ribosomal RNA", at positions 31 to 331 of the family's 1533-position model. The record is from RNAcentral. Lineage: Bacteria; Pseudomonadati; Pseudomonadota; Alphaproteobacteria; Rickettsiales; Candidatus Midichloriaceae.
GAACGCUGGCGGUGUGCUUAACACAUGCAAGUCGAACGGGCAAGAGCUGUAGCAAUACAGAAUUCUGCUAGUGGCAGACGGGUGAGUAAUACAUGGGAAUCUACCUUGCAGUGCGAAAUAACAGUUGGAAGCAAUUGCUAAUGUCGCAUAUAGCCGAGAGGUGAAAGAUUUAUCGCUGCAAGACGAGCCCAUGCAGGAUUAGCUAGUUGGUGAGGUAAUGGCUCACCAAGGCAACGAUCUUUAGUUGGUCUGAGAGGAUGAUCAGCCACACUGGGACUGAGACACGGCC